This 492-nucleotide ribosomal RNA is filed under the name uncultured bacterium. RNAcentral's name for it is "partial 16S ribosomal RNA". It matches the Rfam family "Bacterial small subunit ribosomal RNA", at positions 29 to 507 of the family's 1533-position model. The record is from RNAcentral.
AGUGAACGCUGGCGGUAGGCCUAACACAUGCAAGUCGAACGGCAGCACAGUAAGAGCUUGCUCUUACGGGUGGCGAGUGGCGGACGGGUGAGGAAUACAUCGGCAUCUACUUUUUCGUGGGGGAUAACGUAGGGAAACUUACGCUAAUACCGCAUACGACCUACGGGUUAAAGCAGUAGAUCUUCAGACCUUUCGCGAUUCAAUUAGCCGAUGUCGCAUUAGCUAGUUGGCUAGGUAAAGGCCUACCAAGGCAACGAUCCGUAGCUGAUCUGAGAGGAUGAUCAGCCACACUGGAACUGAGACACGGUCCAGACUCCUACGGGAGGCAGCAGUGGGGAAUAUUGGACAAUGGGCGAAAGCCUGAUGGAGCAACACCGCGUGAGUGAAGAAGGCCUUCGGGUUGUAAAGCUCUGUUAUUGGGAAAGAAAAACAGUGGGUUAAUACAUCGCCGUUUUGACGGUACCCAAAGAAUAAGCACCGGCUAACUACGUG